RNAcentral lists this ribosomal RNA (385 nucleotides) under Achirus declivis (plainfin sole). Its description in RNAcentral is "partial 12S ribosomal RNA". It matches the Rfam family "Bacterial small subunit ribosomal RNA", at positions 863 to 1411 of the family's 1533-position model. The record is from RNAcentral. Lineage: Eukaryota; Metazoa; Chordata; Actinopteri; Pleuronectiformes; Achiridae.
UGACAUCCGCCCGGGAAUUGACGAACAAAAGUUUAAAACCCAAAGGACUUGGCGGUGCUUAACAUCCACCUAGAGGAGCCUGUUCUAUAACCGAUAAUCCCCGUUAAACCUCACCCCCCCUUGCCAAAAUCCGCCUAUAUACCGCCAUCGUCAGUCCACCCUGUGAAGGCCCCGCAGUCGACAAAACCGCAACAACCCCAAACGUUAGGUCGAGGUGUAGUGUAUGGGGAGGGAAGAAAUGGGCUACAUUUGCUACAACAGCAUAACACGAAUGUUGUUCUGAAACAUACAACUGAAGGAGGAUUUUAGCAGUAAGCAGAAAAUAGAGCGUUCUACUGAAAAUGGCACUUAAGCGCGCACACACCGGCCGUCAUCCUCAAAAAAA